This 479-nucleotide ribosomal RNA is filed under the name uncultured Planctomycetota bacterium. RNAcentral's name for it is "bacterial SSU rRNA". It matches the Rfam family "Bacterial small subunit ribosomal RNA", at positions 364 to 833 of the family's 1533-position model. The record is from RNAcentral. Lineage: Bacteria; Pseudomonadati; Planctomycetota.
UUUCGCAAUGCCCGAAAGGGUGACGAAGCGACGCCGCGUGUGGGAAGAAGGCCUUCGGGUUGUAAACCACUGUCGGGAGUUAGGAAAUGUAAGGGUGCUAAUAGUAUCCUUACUUGACUAAGGCUCCGGAGGAAGCCACGGCUAACUCUGUGCCAGCAGCCGCGGUAAUACAGAGGCGGCAAGCGUAGUUCGGAAUUAUUGGGCGUAAAGAGCACGUAGGCGGCCUUGUAAGUCAGUUGUGAAAGCCUUCUGCUUAACGGAAGAACAGCAGCUGAUACUGCAAGGCUAGAGUGCGGAAGGGGAGAGUGGAACUUCUGGUGGAGCGGUGAAAUGCGUAGAUAUCAGAAGGAACACCGGCGGCGAAGGCGACUCUCUGGUCCGUAACUGACGCUGAGUGUGCGAAAGCUAGGGGAGCAAACGGGAUUGGAUACCCCGGUAGUCCUAGCCGUAAACGAUGGGCACUAAGUAGAGGGGUUUUA